UUGCGGUCCGGACAGAGCAAAAAAAACAAGGCAUCAGUAUUGUUGAGUAUUAGCUUGUACCUGGUUCGGAGGCUAAGUUUGUCGGAGAAGGCAGGGGUGAGCCCCCGGUGGCUGCCCGGCUGUACUCCAGCGCCGGUGUUUGGACCAAGACAAAGGCGGGAGCUGUCCGCGGUGCUGAACCUGCUGCUCGCCGCGGGGGCCAAAUGGCUCCGGAGCCAGCCUUCCCCUCAUUUAUCCGCUUCCUUCUCUCUCCCCUUCACUCUGGGACUCUUGCCUUCCUCUGCGUUUAUUUUGCUUUUUUUUUUUUUUUGGUGAUGAAGGGGGUGCGGGGAGCUCUCCUCAGAACAUGCAUCUUGUACACAGGUAUACAUAUACAUGUAUAUCAAAGAACAAAACCAUUGAUUAAAACGACGGUGUCUUCUCAAAUAAUUUUUGGAAGGUUUGUUUUUAACUACAUCCUAAAACAGAUGAAAAGAGCUCAUUUUCACCUCUAAAGAAAUGGAAAUUACAAAACAAUAGAAUUAAAAAGCAUAACGAAU
Long non-coding RNA from Nycticebus coucang (slow loris), 539 nucleotides. RefSeq lists it as uncharacterized. The record is from RefSeq and is a predicted model, not a curated record. The transcript has 2 exons. Lineage: Eukaryota; Metazoa; Chordata; Mammalia; Primates; Lorisidae.